This 462-nucleotide ribosomal RNA is filed under the name uncultured bacterium. RNAcentral's name for it is "bacterial SSU rRNA". It matches the Rfam family "Bacterial small subunit ribosomal RNA", at positions 355 to 833 of the family's 1533-position model. The record is from RNAcentral.
UGGGGAAUCUUGGACAAUGGGGGCAACCCUGAUCCAGCCAUGCCGCGUGAGUGAUGAAGGCCUUAGGGUCGUAAAGCUCUUUCGCCUGUGAAGAUAAUGACGGUAGCAGGUAAAGAAACCCCGGCUAACUCCGUGCCAGCAGCCGCGGUAAUACGGAGGGGGUUAGCGUUGUUCGGAAUUACUGGGCGUAAAGCGCACGUAGGCGGACCAGAAAGUUGGGGGUGAAAUCCCGGGGGCUCAACCCCGGAACUGCCUCCAAAACUAUUGGUCUAGAGUUCGAGAGAGGUGAGUGGAAUUCCAAGUGUAGAGGUGAAAUUCGUAGAUAUUAGGUGGAACACCAGUGGCGAAGGCGCCUAACUGGUCCGGUACUGACGCUGAGGAACGAAAGCGUGGGGAGCAAACAGGAUUAGAUACCCUGGUAGUCCACGCCGUAAACGAUGAGUGCUAGAUGUUGGGAUUUUC